This 1207-nucleotide ribosomal RNA is filed under the name metagenome. Its description in RNAcentral is "bacterial SSU rRNA". It matches the Rfam family "Bacterial small subunit ribosomal RNA", at positions 8 to 1237 of the family's 1533-position model. The record is from RNAcentral.
AGAGUUUGAUCAUGGCUCAGGACGAACGCUGGCGGCGCGCCUAACACAUGCAAGUCGAACGAGCGAGAGAGAGCUUGCUUUCUCGAGCGAGUGGCGAACGGGUGAGUAACGCGUGAGGAACCUGCCUCAAAGAGGGGGACAACAGUUGGAAACGACUGCUAAUACCGCAUAAGCCCACGGCUCGGCAUCGAGCAGAGGGAAAAGGAGCAAUCCGCUUUGAGAUGGCCUCGCGUCCGAUUAGCUAGUUGGUGAGGUAACGGCCCACCAAGGCGACGAUCGGUAGCCGGACUGAGAGGUUGAACGGCCACAUUGGGACUGAGACACGGCCCAGACUCCUACGGGAGGCAGCAGUGGGGAAUAUUGCACAAUGGGGGAAACCCUGAUGCAGCGACGCCGCGUGGAGGAAGAAGGUCUUCGGAUUGUAAACUCCUGUUGUUGGGGAAGAUAAUGACGGUACCCAACAAGGAAGUGACGGCUAACUACGUGCCAGCAGCCGCGGUAAAACGUAGGUCACAAGCGUUGUCCGGAAUUACUGGGUGUAAAGGGAGCGCAGGCGGGAAGACAAGUUGGAAGUGAAAUCUAUGGGCUCAACCCAUAAACUGCUUUCAAAACUGUUUUUCUUGAGUAGUGCAGAGGUAGGCGGAAUUCCCGGUGUAGCGGUGGAAUGCGUAGAUAUCGGGAGGAACACCAGUGGCGAAGGCGGCCUACUGGGCACCAACUGACGCUGAGGCUCGAAAGUGUGGGUAGCAAACAGGAUUAGAUACCCUGGUAGUCCACACCGUAAACGAUGAUUACUAGGUGUUGGAGGAUUGACCCCUUCAGUGCCGCAGUUAACACAAUAAGUAAUCCACCUGGGGAGUACGACCGCAAGGUUGAAACUCAAAGGAAUUGACGGGGGCCCGCACAAGCAGUGGAGUAUGUGGUUUAAUUCGACGCAACGCGAAGAACCUUACCAAGUCUUGACAUCCCUUGACAGACAUAGAAAUAUGUAUUCUCUUCGGAGCAAGGAGACAGGUGGUGCAUGGUUGUCGUCAGCUCGUGUCGUGAGAUGUUGGGUUAAGUCCCGCAACGAGCGCAACCCUUAUGGUCAGUUACUACGCAAGAGGACUCUGGCCAGACUGCCGUUGACAAAACGGAGGAAGGUGGGGAUGACGUCAAAUCAUCAUGCCCUUUAUGACUUGGGCUACACACGUACUACAAUGGCGUU